GCUAGGUGUGGUGGUGCACACCUGUAAUCCCAGUGGCUCAGGAGGCUAAGACAGGAGAAUGACAAGUUCAAAGCCAGCCUCAGCAAUCUAGCGAGGCCCUAAGCAACUCAGCAAGAUCUUGUCUCUA
This 127-nucleotide small RNA is filed under the name Marmota monax (woodchuck). Lineage: Eukaryota; Metazoa; Chordata; Mammalia; Rodentia; Sciuridae. The record is from RNAcentral.